UCUCCGUAGGUGAACCUGCGGAGGGAUCAUUACAGAGUUCUCGCCCUCGCGGGUAGAUCUCCCACCCACUGUUAUCGUUACUGUGUUGCUUUGGCGGGCCGCCGGGCCCCGCUCGGCCGCCGGCUCCGGCUGGCGCGCGCCCGCCAGAGGCCCAGCAAACUCUGAAUGUUAGUGUCGUCUGAGUACUAUAUAAUAGCUAAAACUUUCAACAACGGAUCUCUUGGUUCUG
Molecule: unclassified non-coding RNA, 229 nt
Filed under: plant metagenome
Description: partial contains small subunit ribosomal RNA, internal transcribed spacer 1, and 5.8S ribosomal RNA
Source: RNAcentral